UACAACUUUCAGCGGUGGAUGUCUAGGUUCCCACAACGAUGAAGAACGCACGAGCGAUACGUAAUGCGAAUUGCAAGACCUCGUGAAUCAUUAAGAUUUUGAACGCACAUUGCGCUUUCGGGAUUUUCCCGGUAGCAUGCUUGUCUGAGUGUCUGUG
RNAcentral lists this ribosomal RNA (157 nucleotides) under Pseudo-nitzschia delicatissima. RNAcentral's name for it is "5.8S ribosomal RNA". It matches the Rfam family "5.8S ribosomal RNA". From Rfam's summary of the family: 5.8S ribosomal RNA (5.8S rRNA) is a component of the large subunit of the eukaryotic ribosome. It is transcribed by RNA polymerase I as part of the 45S precursor that also contains 18S and 28S rRNA. The record is from RNAcentral. Lineage: Eukaryota; Bacillariophyta; Bacillariophyceae; Bacillariales; Bacillariaceae.